This 484-nucleotide ribosomal RNA is filed under the name uncultured bacterium. RNAcentral describes it as "partial 16S ribosomal RNA". It matches the Rfam family "Bacterial small subunit ribosomal RNA", at positions 28 to 507 of the family's 1533-position model. The record is from RNAcentral.
AUUGAACGCUGGCGGCAUGCUUUACACAUGCAAGUCGAACGGCAGCGCGGGCUUCGGUCUGGCGGCGAGUGGCGAACGGGUGAGUAACGCAUCGGAACGCGCCCAGUAGUGGGGGAUAGCCCGGCGAAAGCCGGAUUAAUACCGUAUACGAUCUGAGGGUGAAAGCGGGGGACCGCAAGGCCUCGUGCUCUCGGACCUGUCGAUGUCGGAUUAGCUAGUUGGUGGGGUAAAGGCUUACCAAGGCGACGAUCCGUAGCUGGUCUGAGAGGACGACCAGGCACACUGGGACUGAGACACGGCCCAGACUCCUACGGGAGGCAGCAGUGGGGAAUUUUGGACAAUGGGGGCAACCCUGAUCCAGCCAUGCCGCGUGCGGGAAGAAGGCCUUCGGGUUGUAAACCGCUUUUGGUCGGGAAGAAAUCCUCUGGGCUAAUACCCCGGGGUGAUGACGGUACCGGAAGAAUAAGCACCGGCUAACUACGUG